RNAcentral lists this ribosomal RNA (253 nucleotides) under uncultured bacterium. RNAcentral's name for it is "partial 16S ribosomal RNA". It matches the Rfam family "Bacterial small subunit ribosomal RNA", at positions 524 to 776 of the family's 1533-position model. The record is from RNAcentral.
GACAGAGGAUGCAAGCGUUAUCCGGAAUGAUUGGGCGUAAAGCGUCUGUAGGUGGCUUUUUAAGUCUGCCGUCAAAUCCCAGGGCUUAACCCUGGACAGGCGGUGGAAACUACCAAGCUGGAGUACGGUAGGGGCAGAGGGAAUUUCCGGUGGAGCGGUGAAAUGCGUAGAUAUCAAGUGGAACACCAGUGGCGAAGGCGAGUCCCUGGACAAUUCCUGACACUGAGGCACGAAAGCUAGGGGAGCAAACAGG